GAUGAACGCUGGCGGCGUGCCUAAUACAUGCAAGUCGAACGGUAAAUAGUGUAGCAAUACAUUAUGAGAGUGACGUAAGGGUGCGUAACAAGUAUGCAAUCUGCCCUCAACGGGAGGAUAGCUCCCCGAAAGGGGAAUUAACACUCCAUAAGAUUGUGGAUCGGCAUCGAUCAGCAAUUAAAUCUCCGGAGGUUGAGGAUGAGCAUGCUUCUGAUUAGCUAGUUGGUAGUGUAACGGACUACCAAGGCGAUGAUCAGUAGGGGAACUGAGAGGUUGAUCCCCCACACUGGCACUGAGGUACGGGCCAGACUCCUACGGGAGGCAGCAGUAGGGAAUAUUGGUCAAUGGAUGGAAGUCUGAACCAGCCAUGCCGCGUGCAGGAAGAAGGCCUUCUGGGUUGUAAACUGCUUUUGCCAGGGGCUAAAAAGCCCAUGCGUGGGAAAUUGAAGGUACCUGGUGAAUAAGCCACGGCUAACUACGUGCCAGCCGCCGCCGUAA
This 498-nucleotide ribosomal RNA is filed under the name uncultured bacterium. RNAcentral's name for it is "partial 16S ribosomal RNA". It matches the Rfam family "Bacterial small subunit ribosomal RNA", at positions 28 to 523 of the family's 1533-position model. The record is from RNAcentral.